This 1532-nucleotide ribosomal RNA is filed under the name Escherichia coli. RNAcentral describes it as "partial 23S ribosomal RNA". It matches the Rfam family "Bacterial large subunit ribosomal RNA", at positions 1341 to 2853 of the family's 2925-position model. Lineage: Bacteria; Pseudomonadati; Pseudomonadota; Gammaproteobacteria; Enterobacterales; Enterobacteriaceae. The record is from RNAcentral.
AAGACCAAGGGUUCCUGUCCAACGUUAAUCGGGGCAGGGUGAGUCGACCCCUAAGGCGAGGCCGAAAGGCGUAGUCGAUGGGAAACAGGUUAAUAUUCCUGUACUUGGUGUUACUGCGAAGGGGGGACGGAGAAGGCUAUGUUGGCCGGGCGACGGUUGUCCCGGUUUAAGCGUGUAGGCUGGUUUUCCAGGCAAAUCCGGAAAAUCAAGGCUGAGGCGUGAUGACGAGGCACUACGGUGCUGAAGCAACAAAUGCCCUGCUUCCAGGAAAAGCCUCUAAGCAUCAGGUAACAUCAAAUCGUACCCCAAACCGACACAGGUGGUCAGGUAGAGAAUACCAAGGCGCUUGAGAGAACUCGGGUGAAGGAACUAGGCAAAAUGGUGCCGUAACUUCGGGAGAAGGCACGCUGAUAUGUAGGUGAAGUCCCUCGCGGAUGGAGCUGAAAUCAGUCGAAGAUACCAGCUGGCUGCAACUGUUUAUUAAAAACACAGCACUGUGCAAACACGAAAGUGGACGUAUACGGUGUGACGCCUGCCCGGUGCCGGAAGGUUAAUUGAUGGGGUCAGCGCAAGCGAAGCUCUUGAUCGAAGCCCCGGUAAACGGCGGCCGUAACUAUAACGGUCCUAAGGUAGCGAAAUUCCUUGUCGGGUAAGUUCCGACCUGCACGAAUGGCGUAAUGAUGGCCAGGCUGUCUCCACCCGAGACUCAGUGAAAUUGAACUCGCUGUGAAGAUGCAGUGUACCCGCGGCAAGACGGAAAGACCCCGUGAACCUUUACUAUAGCUUGACACUGAACAUUGAGCCUUGAUGUGUAGGAUAGGUGGGAGGCUUAGAAGUGUGGACGCCAGUCUGCAUGGAGCCGACCUUGAAAUACCACCCUUUAAUGUUUGAUGUUCUAACGUUGACCCGUAAUCCGGGUUGCGGACAGUGUCUGGUGGGUAGUUUGACUGGGGCGGUCUCCUCCUAAAGAGUAACGGAGGAGCACGAAGGUUGGCUAAUCCUGGUCGGACAUCAGGAGGUUAGUGCAAUGGCAUAAGCCAGCUUGACUGCGAGCGUGACGGCGCGAGCAGGUGCGAAAGCAGGUCAUAGUGAUCCGGUGGUUCUGAAUGGAAGGGCCAUCGCUCAACGGAUAAAAGGUACUCCGGGGAUAACAGGCUGAUACCGCCCAAGAGUUCAUAUCGACGGCGGUGUUUGGCACCUCGAUGUCGGCUCAUCACAUCCUGGGGCUGAAGUAGGUCCCAAGGGUAUGGCUGUUCGCCAUUUAAAGUGGUACGCGAGCUGGGUUUAGAACGUCGUGAGACAGUUCGGUCCCUAUCUGCCGUGGGCGCUGGAGAACUGAGGGGGGCUGCUCCUAGUACGAGAGGACCGGAGUGGACGCAUCACUGGUGUUCGGGUUGUCAUGCCAAUGGCACUGCCCGGUAGCUAAAUGCGGAAGAGAUAAGUGCUGAAAGCAUCUAAGCACGAAACUUGCCCCGAGAUGAGUUCUCCCUGACCCUUUAAGGGUCCUGAAGGAACGUUGAAGACGACGACGU